This 371-nucleotide ribosomal RNA is filed under the name uncultured bacterium. RNAcentral's name for it is "bacterial SSU rRNA". It matches the Rfam family "Bacterial small subunit ribosomal RNA", at positions 527 to 896 of the family's 1533-position model. The record is from RNAcentral.
GGAGGGUGCGAGCGUUGUUCGGAAUUACUGGGCGUAAAGCGCGUGUAGGCGGCCUUGCAAGUCAGGCGUGAAAGCCCUCGGCUUAACCGGGGAAGUGCGUCUGAAACUGCUUGGCUUGAGUACGGGAGAGGGAGGCGGAAUUCCCAGUGUAGAGGUGAAAUUCGUAGAUAUUGGGAGGAACACCGGUGGCGAAAGCGGCCUCCUGGACCGAUACUGACGCUGAGACGCGAAAGCGUGGGGAGCAAACAGGAUUAGAUACCCUGGUAGUCCACGCGGUAAACGAUGGGCACUAGGUGUGGGGGGUAUCCACUCCUCCCGUGCCGAAGCUAACGCAUUAAGUGCCCCGCCUGGGGAGUACGACCGCAAGGUUA